CGCUGGCGGCACGCCUAACACAUGCAAGUCGAACGAAGUAGCAAUACUUAGUGGCAGACGGGUGAGUAACAUGUGGGUAUCUGCCCUUUGGCCUGGAAUAACACGAGGAAACUUGUGCUAAUACCGGAUAAGUCUUUACGGAGAAAGCUUUAUGCACCAUUGGAUGAGCCCGCACUUGAUUAGUUUGUUGGUGGGGUAAUGGCCUACCAAGACUGUGAUCAAUAGCUGAUUUGAGAGGAUGAUCAGCCACAUUGGGACUGAGACACGGCCCAAACUCCUACGGGAGGCAGCAGUGGGGAAUCUUGCACAAUGGAGGAAACUCUGAUGCAGCGAUGCCGCGUGAGUGAAGAAGGCCCUUGGGUUGUAAAGCUCUUUCGUCGGGGAAGAAAAUGACUGUACCCGAAUAAGAAGGUCCGGCUAACUUCGUGCCAGCAGCCGCGGUAAUACGAAGGGACCUAGCGUAGUUCGGAAUUACUGGGCUUAAAGAGUUCGUAGGUGGUUGAAAAAGUUGGUGGUGAAAUCCCAGAGCUUAACUCUGGAACUGCCAUCAAAACUUUUCAGCUAGAGUAUGAUAGAGGAAAGCAGAAUUUCUAGUGUAGAGGUGAAAUUCGUAGAUAUUAGAAAGAAUACCAAUUGCGAAGGCAGCUUUCUGGAUCAUUACUGACACUGAGGAACGAAAGCAUGGGUAGCGAAGAGGAUUAGAUACCCUCGUAGUCCAUGCCGUAAACGAUGUGUGUUAGACGUUGGAAAUUUAUUUUCAGUGUCGCAGCGAAAGCGAUAAACACACCGCCUGGGGAGUACGACCGC
RNAcentral lists this ribosomal RNA (807 nucleotides) under uncultured Pelagibacteraceae bacterium. RNAcentral describes it as "bacterial SSU rRNA". It matches the Rfam family "Bacterial small subunit ribosomal RNA", at positions 34 to 889 of the family's 1533-position model. The record is from RNAcentral. Lineage: Bacteria; Pseudomonadati; Pseudomonadota; Alphaproteobacteria; Candidatus Pelagibacterales; Candidatus Pelagibacteraceae.